UACGUAGGGGGCAAGCGUUGUCCGGAUUUAUUGGGCGUAAAGAGCGUGUAGGCGGCUAGAUAGGUCCGUUGUGAAAACUCGAGGCUCAACCUCGAGACGCCGGUGGAAACCAUCUAGCUAGAGUCCGGAAGAGGAGAGUGGAAUUCCUGGUGUAGCGGUGAAAUGCGCAGAUAUCAGGAAGAACACCAAUGGCGAAAGCAGCUUUCUGGGACGGUACUGACGCUGAGACGCGAAAGCGUGGGGAGCGAACAGG
RNAcentral lists this ribosomal RNA (253 nucleotides) under uncultured bacterium. RNAcentral describes it as "partial 16S ribosomal RNA". It matches the Rfam family "Bacterial small subunit ribosomal RNA", at positions 524 to 776 of the family's 1533-position model. The record is from RNAcentral.